AACCUUUACACUGCACGACAGUGCGAUAAGGGAAUCCCAAGUGCGUAGGCAUAGAGCCUACGCUUUUGUCCACCGUAGGGAGGUGGACGAAUAAGGGCUGGGCAAGACCGGUGCCAGCCGCCGCGGUAAUACCGGCAGCCCGAGUGAUGGCCGAUAUUAUUGGGCCUAAAGCGUCCGUAGCUGGCCGCACAAGUCCAUCGGAAAAUCCACCCGCUCAACGGGUGGGCGUCCGGUGGAAACUGUGUGGCUUGGGACCGGAAGGCGCGACGGGUACGUCCGGGGUAGGAGUGAAAUCCCGUAAUCCUGGACGGACCGCCGAUGGCGAAAGCACGUCGCGAGAACGGAUCCGACAGUGAGGGACGAAAGCUAGGGUCUCGAACCGGAUUAGAUACCCGGGUAGUCCUAGCCGUAAACAAUGCCUGCUAGGUGUGGCUCCCACUACGAGUGGGUGCUGUGCCGUAGGGAAGCCGCUAAGCAGGCCGCCUGGGAAGUACGUCCGCAAGGAUGAAACUUAA
RNAcentral lists this ribosomal RNA (515 nucleotides) under uncultured archaeon. Its description in RNAcentral is "bacterial SSU rRNA". It matches the Rfam family "Archaeal small subunit ribosomal RNA", at positions 345 to 859 of the family's 1478-position model. The record is from RNAcentral.